Molecule: transfer RNA, 68 nt
Filed under: Scolecomorphus vittatus
Lineage: Eukaryota; Metazoa; Chordata; Amphibia; Gymnophiona; Scolecomorphidae
Description: tRNA-Arg
Source: RNAcentral
AAGAAGUUAAUCUAAAAUAAGAUCACUAGUUUCGACCUGGUAUAUUGUGUGUAACCCACAACUUCUUU